UACGUAGGGUGCAAGCGUUAAUCGGAAUUACUGGGCGUAAAGCGUGCGCAGGCGGUUGUGCAAGACCGAUGUGAAAUCCCCGGGCUUAACCUGGGAAUGGCAUUGGUGACUGCACGGCUAGAGUGUGUCAGAGGGGGUAGAAUUCCACGUGUGAGCAGUGAAAUGCGUAGAGAUGUGGAGGAAUACCGAGUGGCGAAGGCAGCCCCCUGGGUCAAGAUUGACGCUCAUGCACGAAAGCGUGGGGAGCAAACAGG
Molecule: ribosomal RNA, 254 nt
Filed under: uncultured bacterium
Lineage: Bacteria
Description: partial 16S ribosomal RNA
Rfam family: Bacterial small subunit ribosomal RNA
Source: RNAcentral